GCUUCUCGGCCUUUUGGCUAAGAUGAAGUGUAG
RNAcentral lists this microRNA (33 nucleotides) under Canis lupus familiaris (dog). RNAcentral's name for it is "miRNA (ENSCAFG00000053974.1)". Lineage: Eukaryota; Metazoa; Chordata; Mammalia; Carnivora; Canidae. The record is from RNAcentral.